AUGAAAUUAAUCACAUAACAAACAUACCCCUUUGUUUGAAGUGAAAAAUUUCUCCCAUCCCCUUUGUUUAGCGUCGUGUAUUCAGACACGACGUUUUUUU
Molecule: small RNA, 100 nt
Filed under: Staphylococcus aureus subsp. aureus COL
Lineage: Bacteria; Bacillati; Bacillota; Bacilli; Caryophanales; Staphylococcaceae
Also listed under: 1 other name
Description: RsaE sRNA
Rfam family: RNA Staph. aureus E (RoxS)
About the family: It was shown to be regulated by the presence of nitric oxide (NO). In Bacillus subtilis it controls expression of genes with functions related to oxidative stress and oxidation-reduction reactions and it was renamed RoxS (for related to oxidative stress).
Source: RNAcentral